This 75-nucleotide transfer RNA is filed under the name Bacteroidales bacterium. RNAcentral's name for it is "tRNA-Val". It matches the Rfam family "tRNA". Rfam says of the family: Transfer RNA (tRNA) molecules are approximately 80 nucleotides in length. Their secondary structure includes four short double-helical elements and three loops (D, anti-codon, and T loops). RNAcentral also lists the same sequence under 1 other name. The record is from RNAcentral. Lineage: Bacteria; Pseudomonadati; Bacteroidota; Bacteroidia; Bacteroidales.
GGGAGUUUAGCUCAGCUGGUUCAGAGCACUUGCCUUACAAGCAAGGGGUCAUUGGUUCGAAUCCAAUAACUCCCA